GACGAACGCUGGCGGCGUGCCUAACACAUGCAAGUCGAACGGAAAGGCCCGGCUUUUGUGGGUUGCUCGAGUGGCGAACGGGUGAGUAACACGUGAGUAUCCUGCCCUUGACUGUGUGAUAACUUCAGGAGACUGGGGCUAAUACCGCAUAUGAUCUCUUGCUGCAUGGUGGGGAUUGGAAAGUUUCGGCGGUUGGGGAUGGACUCGCGGCUUAUCAGCUUGUUGGUGGGGUAGUUGCGUACGAAGGCUUUGACGGGUAGCCUGCAUGGGAGGGUGACCGGCCACAAUACGCCUGAGAUACGGACCAGAAUCCAACGGGCGGCAGUGGUGGGGAACAUUACGCAAUGGGCGGGAGCGUGAUGUAGCAACGCUGGGUUCGGGAUAACGGCUUACGGGUUGUGAACAGCUUUGGCAUGUGCCGUAGACUGCGUGACGGUAAUGAGUCAAAAAGCACCGGCUAACUACGUG
This 468-nucleotide ribosomal RNA is filed under the name uncultured bacterium. RNAcentral's name for it is "partial 16S ribosomal RNA". It matches the Rfam family "Bacterial small subunit ribosomal RNA", at positions 28 to 507 of the family's 1533-position model. The record is from RNAcentral.